This 305-nucleotide ribosomal RNA is filed under the name uncultured bacterium. RNAcentral describes it as "bacterial SSU rRNA". It matches the Rfam family "Bacterial small subunit ribosomal RNA", at positions 335 to 657 of the family's 1533-position model. The record is from RNAcentral.
GUUCCUACGGGAGGCAGCAGUGGGGAAUUUUGCGCAAUGGGGGGAACCCUGACGCAGCAACGCCGCGUGCGGGACGAAGGCCCUCGGGUUGUAAACCGCUUUCAGCAGGGAAGAUCCAAGACGGUACCUGCAGAAGAAGCUCCGGCUAACUACGUGCCAGCAGCCGCGGUAAUACGUAGGGGGCGAGCGUUAUCCGGAUUCAUUGGGCGUAAAGCGCGCGUAGGCGGCCGCCUAAGCGGGACCUCUAACCCCGGGGCUCAACCCCGGGCCGGGUCCCGGACUGGGCGGCUCGAGUGCGGUAGAGG